RNAcentral lists this ribosomal RNA (818 nucleotides) under Kaloula mediolineata (median-striped bullfrog). RNAcentral describes it as "partial 16S rRNA". It matches the Rfam family "Bacterial large subunit ribosomal RNA", at positions 1599 to 2574 of the family's 2925-position model. Lineage: Eukaryota; Metazoa; Chordata; Amphibia; Anura; Microhylidae. The record is from RNAcentral.
ACCAUUAACACACCAAAACCCUUACUCGAUACUGAAUGACUCCAUAACACAUAUGGAAAACUAUAUGCUAGAACUAGUAAUAAGAAGAAGACCUUCUCCAAAAUAUAAGUGUGAGCCGAAAUGAACAACUCACCGGCACUUAACGCAAUUGAAUCAAUAGUAGCAACCGAACAAGAAAACCCUACUUCAUCAUGCGUCAACCUUACACUAGAAUAUUCCUGGAAAGAUUAAAAGAAGAGGAAGGAACUCGGCAAAUCACUAACCCCGCCUGUUUACCAAAAACAUCGCCUCUUGAAAAAAUAUAAGAGGUCCAGCCUGCCCAGUGACAAAGUUAAACGGCCGCGGUACCCUAACCGUGCGAAGGUAGCGCAAUCACUUGUUCUUUAAAUGAGGACUAGUAUGAAUGGCAUCACGAGGGUUAUACUGUCUCCCUCUUCCAAUCAAUGAAACUGACCUCCCCGUGAAGAGGCGGGGAUAAGACUAUAAGACGAGAAGACCCCAUGGAGCUUUAAACUCAGUAUCAAUUACCUUACCGCACACCAUCUUAACUUGGUAACUCUGAUUACUGGUUUUCGGUUGGGGUGACCGCGGAGUAAAACAAAACCUCCACGAUGAACGGACCAAUGCUCCUAAUCAUAGAGCCACAGCUCACAGAAUCAAAAAAUUGACAUAAAUUGAUCCAAUUAAUUUUGAUCAACGAACCAAGUUACCCUGGGGAUAACAGCGCAAUCCACUUCAAGAGCUCCUAUCGACAAGUGGGUUUACGACCUCGAUGUUGGAUCAGGGUAUCCUAGUGGUGCAGCCGCUACUAAAGGUUC